This 484-nucleotide ribosomal RNA is filed under the name uncultured bacterium. Its description in RNAcentral is "partial 16S ribosomal RNA". It matches the Rfam family "Bacterial small subunit ribosomal RNA", at positions 30 to 507 of the family's 1533-position model. The record is from RNAcentral.
AGUGAACGCUGGCGGCAGGCCUAACACAUGCAAGUCGAGCGGCAGCGGGUCCUUCGGGAUGCCGGCGAGCGGCGGACGGGUGAGGAAUACAUCGGAAUCUGCCCUGUCGUGGGGGAUAACCUAGGGAAACUUAGGCUAAUACCGCAUACGACCUACGGGUGAAAGCGGGGGAUCGCAAGACCUCGCGCGACAGGAUGAGCCGAUGUCCGAUUAGCUAGUUGGCGGGGUAAAGGCCCACCAAGGCGACGAUCGGUAGCUGGUCUGAGAGGAUGAUCAGCCACACUGGGACGGAGACACGGCCCAGACUCCUACGGGAGGCAGCAGUGGGGAAUAUUGGACAAUGGGCGCAAGCCUGAUCCAGCCAUGCCGCGUGGGUGAAGAAGGCCUUCGGGUUGUAAAGCCCUUUUGUCCGGGAAGAAAUCGUCUGGGCUAAUACCCCGGGCGGAUGACGGUACCGGAAGAAUAAGCACCGGCUAACUUCGUG